Molecule: non-coding RNA, 148 nt
Filed under: unclassified sequences
Also listed under: 1 other name
Description: Clostridiales-1 RNA
Rfam family: Clostridiales-1 RNA
Source: RNAcentral
AUCGUAGACAAUGAGGAAAAUAAAAAAUCAGAGGCAAGCUCGCUUGCCUCUGAUUUUUUAUUUGACGAAUGUCCGGAUAUGAGCAAGAAGCACCUAAGUGCGGAUUGCGAAUAUACGGAGGCUGGUGUAAGCCAGCCGUGUCUACGAU